UAUCGGCUGCCUAGGAUGGAUUCAGGGGUGUGCUCCCUCAGUCCGCACACAGAUCAUGCGUUUAAAACGUUACACACGUUUUCCAACACUACAGCAAUUCGGUGACUGAAUCUACGUUUGUUUGGGGAAAACAAACAUCAAAAUAGAGUUGGCGGUAAGGUUGUUUACCUCUCAGUAGCUGGGUAAUUUUGGAGGGCAGAUUGCAUUUCUUCUCAGACCAACCCCUAACCCCUUCCCCCCUCUUUCCAUCGCCAGACGCUGAGAUAUACUAGACUACAAAAACUUUGCUGGAUGUUUCAGGAGAAACAUUUCAGGACCAGAUUUUCAUUAUUUUUAGUAAAUGUAUGUACAUUAAGUACAUUAAACUGUGUUUUAUCAGUUUUGCAAAGGGGACUUUUUGUGUCGGUAAAUUAGAACACUAGAAACAUUGUUUCUGAAGGAGCGCACUGGGCGGAGGCAGCGACCCAAGCCUUUUGUUAUUAAUCUAAUCUCCACAGUCACGUCUUUUCCAUUAAUUGGACUUCUGACAGGUGACAUGGAUCUCUCUCUGUUGGUGGUAUUAUGCUCCUGUGUUCCUCCUGCCUUGGGGUCAGGAUUUGGCAGGGAGAUGCCAGGUACGUUUUCAGUGCAUUGGAUGCCUCAGUUGUGUCAAAGGAAUGAGAAAUGCAGUCUGUCUGCCUUGGAAUGGACACAGAAUGCAUGGCCAUCUUUGUUGGCUUAUCAUUUGCCCAAGAGCAGUGUUUCCCAACUCCAGUCCUCAAAUACCCCCCCCCCCCCUUUUUUUACAGUACACAUUUUUAUUGUAGCCCUGGACAAACAAACCUGAUUCAACUUGUCAACUAAUUGUUGAAUCCUGAUGAGUUGAAUUUGGCGGGGUUUUUUUGUCCUGGGCUACAACAAAAAUGUGUGCUGGUGAGGGGGGGAAAAGGAGUUGGGAAACACUGCCUGGUCCCCCCAGACUUUUCAUAUUUUUGUUUUAACCUUAAACUGGCACACCUGAUUCAAUUAGUCAAAAGCUUGAUGAAUAGUUGACUAAUUGAACCAGGUGUGCCCGUUUAGGGUUAAAAGAAAGGUGUGAAAUGUCUGAGGGAUAGGGGCAGAGGAGAGGGUUGGGAAACCCUGUCCUAGAGUAUGGCUGUCUGUAGAGAAACUGGAAAGGUCAUUCACAGUGCAUUGUUUCCCCCCAGGAUGUUUUUCAGCAGUGGUGGCAGAGUUAGCGGGGGGAGGUUGGGGGUUGCGAUGAAUGGGGUCUUCCUGGGGCAGACAUCAACAUAAUAAAUAUAUAUUUAUUUUUCAGUGUCGGCCAAUGCAUGAAGGGGAGACACUGCAAUGUGAUAAAGGAAAGUGUGUAGUGUCAUAUUUUAGCGAACUGUGUAGUGUCUUAAGAGUGCCAGUGAUUAAAGAAUGAGCUGGUCUCUGGUCUGUCUGUCUGUCUAUACUAACAGGGUCAUCUAUAGGCAGGGACAUGCCAGGUAAGUUUGUUUUAUUGGAUGCCUCGGGCUUGUCAUAAAGGAAUGAGAAACAUGCUGUCUGUUUUGGAAUGGGCACUGAGAAUGCACAGCCAUAUUUGUUAUUGGCUGGUCAGUUGCCCUAUAGCAGGGUUUCAUCAAACUCAGUCCUGGGGUCCCCAUUUUGGUUUUUCCCCUAGCACUACACAGCUGAUUGAAAUAACUCCUCGUCGGGGUGGCAGGACCGAGUUUGGGAAACUCUGCCAUAGAGCACGUGUUGAACUCAGCCCUCCGUGAAAUGAGUGUCUGUGGGUUUUUGCUCCGCCCUAAUUAGUAAAGAACUUCCCUCACCUGGUUGUCUAGGUCUUAAUUGAAAGGAAAAAGCAAAGACCAGCAGACACUAGGCCCUCCAUAGAAUGAGUUUGAUACCCCUGCCCUAGUGUAUGGCUCUCUGUAGAGUAACUAGCUUUGCUUUGUCUGUACUUGCAUAUUGUGCAACUAUAUUAAGUACUAUUGUGUAAGGAUUUCAAGUUAUGAUUAAAUCCAGUUCAUUUGAAAUGGGCUCAUCUAGACUGGUGUAAGAAAGAGCCUUUGCUUUCCUGGCCAGGAUUAGCCUUUUUCUCAUGUGAGGGAUUUUAGUAAUCAGUCAUUUGAAGUGCAGCUAAGCCUCUCAUAUUGUAGUAGCAUGUGGCGCUGGGCAGUCCUACACUGCACUUUGGGUUGUGUUGUGCUGACUUGUUCCUGAGCAGAUUGACCUACAUUAGUUUUUCUCCUCAGUCAACAGGGUGAUUUGGGCAGGAUAUGAGUUCCGCUGGUAAUGGAGAGGAAUGACACCAAACGAAAGUGUUUGUCGGACAUUAGGCUUUUCUGCUGCACCAUAAAAAGCCCUGCUUGCUCGGGUUGUCAUUCUCUGACAUCCUUUAGAAGAAAACAAAAUGAAAAUGUCAGCAGAUACGAGAUGAGCCAAUCAGAGGAGCAUUUCGUUGUUAGAGCUGAGCAGUGAUUAUUGUACUACACCUUGGAUUCUUCAAGAAGUGGUUCUAUUACCUCUGUACUAAACGAAGCAGGAGUCAUGUAUUUGUUGUUUGGUGAUCAGAUAACAUGACAUCCAUGUGAUUUAGAUUCUUAAUCUAAAUGGUAUUGUGAGGGAAGAUGUGACAUUUGGUUGAUUCUCAAAUGGUUACUCGCACUGCACAAGCCAACGUGCGGGUACACACACACACACACACACACAGUGAAGUCUGCUUUAUUACAGCACCUACCUGAGCUAACAUGGGUCACUGGCCUUAGGAAAUGACUGCAGAGUGGGUAUGGUUAUAAAUGCAUCAGGACUUGCAACUCUGUGUGGUGUCUUGCAUCAUUGUAGCAUUAGCAUUUCCACUACAUUUUUUUCCACCGCAUUUUGCAACUCUUCUGAGGAGAGAGCCACCUGAGUGUUGCCAGAUUGUAUUUAAAAGUAUGCACUGUGUAUCACAUCACCCAGUGGUGUAAUCUGUGUAAGUGCACGCACCAUUCCUAAACCUUCAGUACAAGUGGACCAUAUUUUUAAAAAGCACAGAACA
Salmo trutta (river trout) is the source of this 3010-nucleotide long non-coding RNA. NCBI's taxonomy places the organism in Eukaryota, Metazoa, Chordata, Actinopteri, Salmoniformes, Salmonidae. The record is from Ensembl.